GUAACGGUUUGGAACUUACUGGUCACUUGAAAUGUGGCCUGUGAUCUCAUUAUUUUAAAUGGAUGGAACUUGAGAAUCUCAUCCUGAGUGAGAUAACCCAGAGCCAGAAGGACACGCAUGGGGUGUGAUUUUGCCAGCUGAAGGCAGUUUACAUUCGGAGUUCCGCGGACUCUUCAGAGGCUGUAAAAAUGCCGGAGUCACGAAAGCCUGCAAAGAGCUGUUGCUUGCCUUGCUGCUGCUGCUGCUACUGCCGUCCCUGCCCGUGCUGCAGCUGCUACUCCUGCUGCUGCUGCUGCUGCUUGUUGCUGAUUGUUGCGGUUGCUGGUUGCUGUUUACUGUUUGCUGCCGGCUGGAUUGCUGGAUUGCUGAUUGCCAGUCGGCGAAAUCCUGGCGAUGAAGAUCCAACUUGCCCCAAGAAACAAGACGACCCUAAGAAGUAGUCUAAUGAUUUCAAUACGCCCUUUCCCCCUCUGACCUUUCUCUCUUACCUUAUGCUGGGGGAUUGGAAGGGUGGCAGAAAAAAGAACCCAAUAAAGUAGCCAAAAGUAAAAAAAAAAAAAAAAAAAAAAAAAAAAAAAAAAAAAAAA
Molecule: long non-coding RNA, 587 nt
Filed under: Mus musculus (house mouse)
Lineage: Eukaryota; Metazoa; Chordata; Mammalia; Rodentia; Muridae
Description: RIKEN cDNA 2010204K13 gene, transcript variant 2 (2010204K13Rik)
Source: RNAcentral